RNAcentral lists this ribosomal RNA (253 nucleotides) under uncultured bacterium. RNAcentral describes it as "partial 16S ribosomal RNA". It matches the Rfam family "Bacterial small subunit ribosomal RNA", at positions 524 to 776 of the family's 1533-position model. The record is from RNAcentral.
GACAGAGGGUGCAAACGUUGUUCGGAAUUACUGGGCGUAAAGCGAGUGUAGGCGGUGUGGUAAGUCGGAUGUGAAAGCCCCGGGCUCAACCCGGGAAGUGCACUCGAUACUGCCACGCUAGAGUAUCGGAGAGGUUGGUGGAAUUCUCGGUGUAGAGGUGAAAUUCGUAGAUAUCGAGAGGAACACCGGUGGCGAAGGCGGCCAACUGGACGAAUACUGACGCUGAGACACGAAAGCGUGGGUAGCAAACAGG